ACUCUAAUAAUCCUUCAUUUUACCUCUCUGUAGCUCUUUUCCUUUCUUGAAUGCAUACUCACACACACACACACAUAACCCUAUCAACAGUCACAGAGAAUUCCUUCUUUCUUACACCAGCUCUUAGUUACCAUAGAAACCAAUAAAGGAUCGGAUUGAGAUGGGAGGUGUUUAUGUUUGUGUGUGUGGUGUGUGUGUGUGAGACUUCGAGAUAGAGAGAAAGAGCGGGACAAGUCAAAAAAGGAGGAACAUCUAAAUGGCUUAUUAAUACUCCUCCCCCUUCAGCAUGACAAAAGGUUCCAUUCUCCACUGAUCCUAUAUAAAUUGGCUGUUUGGGGAGAGCGGGAGAGAUUUCAGUUUCAAGGAGAUGCUCCUGUUCCUGGCAGUGGACCUCAUUACUGGCUCCUCUGUGUUCCUGUUCUUGGCCGUUUAUAUUUUAUGACUGACUUUAUGUCUUUGCACAGUUACCAGUAGGCCCACUAAGACGAUGGCAAUGUGAUAUUGGGCUAUAUAAAUAAAAUUGAAUUGAAA
Long non-coding RNA from Oryzias melastigma (Indian medaka), 531 nucleotides. RefSeq lists it as uncharacterized. The record is from RefSeq and is a predicted model, not a curated record. The transcript is spliced from 3 exons. NCBI's taxonomy places the organism in Eukaryota, Metazoa, Chordata, Actinopteri, Beloniformes, Adrianichthyidae.